Non-coding RNA from Podarcis lilfordi (Lilford's wall lizard), 75 nucleotides. Lineage: Eukaryota; Metazoa; Chordata; Lepidosauria; Squamata; Lacertidae. The record is from the annotation of a GenBank genome assembly.
GGAAAACUGUAGCUCAGUGGUAAUAGCGUCACCAUUGCAUACAGAAGGUUCUAAGUUCAAUUCCUAGCAUUCCCA